This 105-nucleotide microRNA precursor is filed under the name Loxodonta africana (African savanna elephant). Its description in RNAcentral is "miRNA (ENSLAFG00000026491.1)". The record is from RNAcentral. Lineage: Eukaryota; Metazoa; Chordata; Mammalia; Proboscidea; Elephantidae.
GUGGCACUGUAGGGUUCCACCAUGGUGUCUGACACCUUGGGAGAAGGCAUGAUGCUGAAGUUGUUCAUGAUGCAGUCGGAGUGCUCUUACUUGAUCUUGCUGAUG